RNAcentral lists this transfer RNA (71 nucleotides) under Loxodonta africana (African savanna elephant). It matches the Rfam family "tRNA". Rfam says of the family: Transfer RNA (tRNA) molecules are approximately 80 nucleotides in length. Lineage: Eukaryota; Metazoa; Chordata; Mammalia; Proboscidea; Elephantidae. The record is from Rfam by way of RNAcentral.
GCAUUGGUGGUUCAGUGGUAGAAUUCUCACUUUCUGUACAAGAGACCCAGGUUUGAUUCCCGGCCAAUGCA